CUACGUGCCAGCAGCCGCGGUAAUACGUAGGUCCCGAGCGUUGUCCGGAUUUAUUGGGCGUAAAGCGAGCGCAGGCGGUUAGAUAAGUCUGAAGUUAAAGGCUGUGGCUUAACCAUAGUACGCUUUGGAAACUGUUUAACUUGAGUGCAAGAGGGGAGAGUGGAAUUCCAUGUGUAGCGGUGAAAUGCGUAGAUAUAUGGAGGAACACCGGUGGCGAAAGCGGCUCUCUGGCUUGUAACUGACGCUGAGGCUCGAAAGCGUGAGGAGCAAACAGGAUUAGAUACCCUGGUAGUCCACGCCGUAAACGAUGAGUGCUAGGUGUUAGACCCUUUCCGGGGUUUAGUGCCGUAGCUAACGCAUUAAGCACUCCGCCUGGGGAGUACGACCGCAAGGUUGAAACUCAAAGGAAUUGACGGGGGCCCGCACAAGCGGUGGAGCAUGUGGUUUAAUUCGAAGCAACGCGAAGAACCUUACCAGGUCUUGACAUCCCUCUGACCGUUCUAGAGAUAGAGCUUUC
RNAcentral lists this ribosomal RNA (517 nucleotides) under uncultured bacterium. RNAcentral's name for it is "bacterial SSU rRNA". It matches the Rfam family "Bacterial small subunit ribosomal RNA", at positions 501 to 1016 of the family's 1533-position model. The record is from RNAcentral.